This 647-nucleotide long non-coding RNA is filed under the name Anolis carolinensis (green anole). RNAcentral describes it as "lncRNA (ENSACAG00000042037.1)". Lineage: Eukaryota; Metazoa; Chordata; Lepidosauria; Squamata; Anolidae. The record is from RNAcentral.
GGGCCUAAGGUUUCUUGCAAAAGUUAAGACAGAUAUAAAGCUCACAUUGCUAAAAAUAAUCCAAUAAAUAAAUAAUCAAAACUUACACAGAAGUAAAAACAUUCCCAUUAAAAAGCACAUUGUUAAAUUCCCAAAAGCCUGUCUCACAAGGCAAGUUUGUAUUUCCUUGAGAUACUCUUGAUUGCGAACAGGUGUGUUUAAACUUCUCUAGGAUUUGGGAACCUCCCUGUGUUUGCACCAGAAGGUGCAUGGAUGGAUAUAAGGAUUUUUCAAAGGCCUCAAAACCUAUCUUGGGUCAUUGCUACAGGAACUGGGAUGCUCUGCUUCAGCUUUUCUUCUAACCUGUUUUGCUGAACACUAGGAAGACUGGGCUUGUUUUCGGGCAUCUGCUGUGACUCCUCCAAUGCCCCGGGGGAGUCAACGCGUCUCCUGUGAUGGAAAGGUUCUGCCAAGGGAUUGAGGACUGGAUUGCCGGUAUAAUUCAUUUUAAUGCCUUCCCCACAUACUAAUCAUUUGCAAAGGUAAGGUCUUCUCUAAUAGGAACAUGACUGGGGAAAGACAGAAGUAAUUGAUCAUUUUCCCUCCUUUUUGCAUUAGAAAGGGGUGAUUAAAAACCAAAUCCCUCAUCUGUUCCAGAGGGAAAGGCA